AGAGGAGGGGUGGGGUGCAGCGGGGCGGGGUGGGCAGGCGCCCCGUUUUAAGUUUUUGUAGCGCCAAGGAGAGAUGUGUGCAGUGAAGGCUGCUAUGUCAGCGAAAUGCGUCUGCGGCCUCCAGGACCUGCCUCUCCUUCUGAGCCGAGGCAGGAAGCCCAGCGGAUUCCAGCCCAAGUGCGUCCGACCCAUGAAAACAGCAGCCUGCCAACGGGCGGCAGAACCAGCAGGCUAACUGAAGAGGUCACAGCAUUUAGUGUCACAUUUUCCCCAGUUUCACAGUGAGGAGACACUUCGAUGGGCAGUGCAGGGCUGCGGCUGGACGGAGAGAAUUCGCUUCUACCAAAAAAAACAAAAAAAACUUCACUGUGGUCUCCUACCUUUAUGCGGAUAAUCGUCCAGAUUUACAGAGAAGGAAUGUGACGUGCAGCCUCUUACAGAACAUCUGAUACUACCUCUUAAACACGCUUUAAACACCCUGCCCCUUUCUUACUCAUCUUGGAAAAGUUGUGUUUUUUCAUCAAGGUCAAUUACUUACUGGCGAUUAGUGUUGAAAGUAAAUACCGUGCUGUAAUACCAGUGUACUUUCUCAGGAUGUGACUAGGAAUUUCGCAUGCUGUUAAAUAUGUUUAAUACAACAUCACAAUCAGGGCAGUGCUGAGAAACAAAGAUGUGUUACGUGUUUCUGGGAAGCCAGAUGGAAGUGAGAGAGUGUAAAAAAAAAUCAGCUGCUUCCAAUAAACUCAUUUUUUUCUUUCUUAUGGACAGUUUUUCAUCCGUGAUGUCUGCACUCAAGGGGCUUGAUCUUACAACAUUAGAGCUUCUGCAAAGUGUCUUUUUUUCCCAGAAUGCAGCAUGGAAUGCACUGUACUUCCUGUUCCAAGCCACAACACCGAGGUUCUGUCUGAAAAGGGGGAGAUUGAGGGUCCGCGGAAGAUGAUGAUGUCACCAGCGAAGACGGCAGGCUGCUGCUAGAGAGGAGUUAGAAUUUGAGAAGAAUACUUUAGAUCUGAAGUACACAGAGGUGGAGACCUGUUUGGAACCACAGCAAGUCCUUUACCCUGAAGUUCAGAAUGACCACAUGCCUUUUGGUCCCCUGCCAGAAUCUGUAGCAAACAGGAAAG
Molecule: long non-coding RNA, 1124 nt
Organism: Brienomyrus brachyistius
Lineage: Eukaryota; Metazoa; Chordata; Actinopteri; Osteoglossiformes; Mormyridae
Exons: 3
Source: RefSeq, a predicted model, not a curated record